This 496-nucleotide ribosomal RNA is filed under the name uncultured bacterium. Its description in RNAcentral is "partial 16S ribosomal RNA". It matches the Rfam family "Bacterial small subunit ribosomal RNA", at positions 29 to 507 of the family's 1533-position model. The record is from RNAcentral.
AACGAACGCUGGCGGCGCGUCUUAAGCAUGCAAGUCGAACGGCAAGAGAGGAGCUUGCUUCUCUCCUAGAGUGGCGGACUGGUGAGGAACACGUGGGUAAUCUACCCUUAAGAUGGGGAUAGCUGCUAGAAAUAGCAGGUAAUACCGAAUACACUCGGCAUAUCACAAGAGGUGUUGAGAAAAGGAAGCUACGGCUUCGCUUGAGGAUGAGCUUGCGUCCCAUUAGCUAGUUGGUGAGGUAAAGGCCCACCAAGGCGACGAUGGGUAUCCGGCCUGAGAGGGUGAACGGACACAUUGGGACUGAGAUACGGCCCAAACUCCUACGGGAGGCAGCAGCUAAGAAUAUUCCGCAAUGGACGGAAGUCUGACGGAGCGACGCCGCGUGGAUGAAGAAGGCUGAAAAGUUGUAAAAUCCUUUUGUUGAUGAAGAAUAAGGGUGAGAGGGAAUGCUCAUCUGAUGACGGUAAUCGACGAAUAAGCCCCGGCUAAUUACGUG